UCUUGGCAUUGAUCUCUAGAGAUUGGUGUUAAGGCCACACGCUCUUUUGUCGGGACUUUCCUUUUGAGAAGUUAUGAAAUGCAGUUGUGACCUUGAGUAAGACUUUAUUGUCUGAAAAUCGAAAUAACAGUGAAGAUUAGACAAAAAAGCUAUAAGAU
This 158-nucleotide non-coding RNA is filed under the name unclassified sequences. RNAcentral describes it as "RT-16 RNA". It matches the Rfam family "RT-16 RNA". From Rfam's summary of the family: candidate division DUSEL4 (Archaea). Nearby to self-splicing intron genes The record is from Rfam by way of RNAcentral.